AUUCAAAUAUUUUGAUGUAAAUUCACAAUCAGUGGACUGACCUGCUACGUUUUUGAAUUUUAAAGCGACCAACGGAGGCAUGUGAUGCUUAUCGCCAUAGUAAGGAAAGUAUUCAACUGGAAAUCUCGGACUUGGAAAAAAAUUGGCAGCCUACUGACAGUCUCGAUUCACGUCUAGAACAUAGAACCUGAUGAUGCAUCUGAAAUAUGCAUUUGUCAAUUAUUAACAUACAAACAUCAUUUAGUAUAUAUCUAUGAGUUUAGUAUUUCUCAACGUAAUUAGCAUAAUAUUUAAAUGGUAAUUCCAUAGAUAUAUUAAGCGAAUGAAAGAUGAUGUCUGGAGUAUUGCAAAACAUUUAUUGUGAGAAAACAUAUCUUCGUACAAAUGAGAUCGAUGUACAUAAUGAUGAGUUGACAUUUAUUUAUCAAUGUUGAUUUGAUUUAGCAAUAAACUACAAGUACCCUCAGAA
Long non-coding RNA from Athalia rosae (coleseed sawfly), 469 nucleotides. RefSeq lists it as uncharacterized. Lineage: Eukaryota; Metazoa; Arthropoda; Insecta; Hymenoptera; Athaliidae. The record is from RefSeq and is a predicted model, not a curated record. The transcript has 2 exons.